AGUGAACGCUGGCGGUAGGCCUAACACAUGCAAGUCGAACGGCAGCACAGUAAGAGCUUGCUCUUACGGGUGGCGAGUGGCGGACGGGUGAGGAAUACAUCGGAAUCUACUUUUUCGUGGGGGAUAACGUAGGGAAACUUACGCUAAUACCGCAUACGACCUACGGGUGAAAGCAGGGGAUCUUCGGACCUUGCGCGAUUGAAUGAGCCGAUGUCGGAUUAGCUAGUUGGCGGGGUAAAGGCCCACCAAGGCGACGAUCCGUAGCUGGUCUGAGAGGACGAUCAGCCACACUGGAACUGAGACACGGUCCAGACUCCUACGGGAGGCAGCAGUGGGGAAUAUUGGACAAUGGGCGCAAGCCUGAUCCAGCCAUACCGCGUGGGUGAAGAAGGCCUUCGGGUUGUAAAGCCCUUUUGUUGGGAAAGAAAAGCAGCAGGUUAAUACCCCGCUGUCCUGACGGUACCCAAAGAAUAAGCACCGGCUAACUUCGUG
This 492-nucleotide ribosomal RNA is filed under the name uncultured bacterium. Its description in RNAcentral is "partial 16S ribosomal RNA". It matches the Rfam family "Bacterial small subunit ribosomal RNA", at positions 29 to 507 of the family's 1533-position model. The record is from RNAcentral.